AUCCCCAGGGGACUUCAGAGAAGCCACAUGACAUUUCCAGAGGCAUAAAUUUCUCCAUGGGCUUAUGAGACUUCAGGUUCUGGACAUCCAAGAGUUCAAGCCAAGGCUCCUCACACUUAGUAGUCCCUGUGUCAAGCCUGACGCUGCACCCACCCCAGGUUGGAGCACCCCCUUCCUCACAGUCCAGUUCUCUGCAGAAAACUCUGAGGGAAAUGGAGCCUACCUUCCAUGUCCAGAGCAGAUGGUGCCCAGAAGGCUGCAGCCCAGCCUC
Molecule: long non-coding RNA, 271 nt
Organism: Mastomys coucha (southern multimammate mouse)
Lineage: Eukaryota; Metazoa; Chordata; Mammalia; Rodentia; Muridae
Exons: 3
Source: RefSeq, a predicted model, not a curated record